This 97-nucleotide transfer RNA is filed under the name Rhodospirillales bacterium. RNAcentral's name for it is "tRNA-Sec". It matches the Rfam family "Selenocysteine transfer RNA". The record is from RNAcentral. Lineage: Bacteria; Pseudomonadati; Pseudomonadota; Alphaproteobacteria; Rhodospirillales.
GGAAGAGAGACGCACCCCGGUGGGGCGCCCGGACUUCAAAUCCGGUGAGGGGCGCGAACAGCGUCCCUGGUGGGUUCGACUCCCACCUCUUCCGCCA